Molecule: non-coding RNA, 157 nt
Organism: Podarcis lilfordi (Lilford's wall lizard)
Lineage: Eukaryota; Metazoa; Chordata; Lepidosauria; Squamata; Lacertidae
Source: the annotation of a GenBank genome assembly
CACCUGCAUCACUGCAACUUACUGGGAGGGAGAGGUGAGGUGGUGGGGAGGUCAGCAUGGUGCAAGUGCAGGAUUGGUUCCAUUGGUGCGUUUGCACUGCGCUGACCUCACCGCUGCCUUACCUGCCCCCUUCUGGGUGAGUCGUGGUGACUCAGGU